Non-coding RNA from Jatropha curcas, 466 nucleotides. The record is from RefSeq and is a predicted model, not a curated record. NCBI's taxonomy places the organism in Eukaryota, Viridiplantae, Streptophyta, Magnoliopsida, Malpighiales, Euphorbiaceae.
GUAUACCUUUUAGAUAUCAUUAGACAACUGAAAAUUAGAAGCAAAUACUAUGAAGUCAACAAACCUUCUCUUUGUUUUUUGUGUGAUGCUAUUGGCUUCAUCAAUAUGUAUUCAAGGGGAUGUGACUUGGUGCCCCAAGCAAGAUAUAUUUCCAGGAGGGCCUUGUGGAGCAAAUGGAAGCUCCCAAUGUUUGACUGACUUCUUGGGAAAAUAUGGAGCAAGUAGCAUGCCAAAGAAUUGCCAAUGCCAGACUUCAGGAUCUGAUAAAAGACUUUGCAAUUGUGAAAUUGUUUGUGGAAAAUAAUUAUAUUAUCUGCAUCAGCCAAAGCACUAGAUUUCAUAGAUGUUUAGUUUUAAAAGCUUUGGAAGUUAUUGUAAUAAUAAUGACAUUAAUAAUGGUCACAGCUGAGAAGAUUGUUGUCAAUUCUUAAUAAAUCAGUUAUCUAUCUAUGAACAAUUGUUGUUA